CCUACGGGAGUCUGCAGUGAGGAAUAUUGGUCAAUGGGCGCGAGCCUGAACCAGCCAAGUAGCGUGAAGGAUGACUGCCCUACGGGUUGUAAACUUCUUUUAUAAAGGAAUAAAGUCAGGCACGUGUGCCUUUUUGUAUGUACUUUAUGAAUAAGGAUCGGCUAACUCCGUGCCAGCAGCCGCGGUAAUACGGAGGAUCCGAGCGUUAUCCGGAUUUAUUGGGUUUAAAGGGUGCGUAGAUGGGUGGUUAAGUCAGUGGUGAAAGUUUGCGGCUCAACCGUAAAAUUGCAAUUGAUACUGACAGCCUUGAGAACAGUUGAGGUAGGCGGAAUUCGUGGUGUAGCGGUGAAAUGCUUAGAUAUCACGAAGAACUCCGAUUGCGAAGGCAGCUUACUAAGCUGCCACUGACAUUGAGGCUCGAAAGUGUGGGUAGCAAACAGGAUUAGAUACCCCUGUAGUC
RNAcentral lists this ribosomal RNA (460 nucleotides) under uncultured bacterium. RNAcentral describes it as "partial 16S ribosomal RNA". It matches the Rfam family "Bacterial small subunit ribosomal RNA", at positions 338 to 795 of the family's 1533-position model. The record is from RNAcentral.